This 464-nucleotide ribosomal RNA is filed under the name Vreelandella stevensii. RNAcentral describes it as "partial 16S ribosomal RNA". It matches the Rfam family "Bacterial small subunit ribosomal RNA", at positions 338 to 795 of the family's 1533-position model. The record is from RNAcentral. Lineage: Bacteria; Pseudomonadati; Pseudomonadota; Gammaproteobacteria; Oceanospirillales; Halomonadaceae.
CCUACGGGGGGCUGCAGUGGGGAAUAUUGGACAAUGGGCGAAAGCCUGAUCCAGCCAUGCCGCGUGUGUGAAGAAGGCCUUCGGGUUGUAAAGCACUUUCAGUGGGGAAGAAAGCCUUGGGGCUAAUACCCUCGAGGAAGGACAUCACCCACAGAAGAAGCACCGGCUAACUCCGUGCCAGCAGCCGCGGUAAUACGGAGGGUGCGAGCGUUAAUCGGAAUUACUGGGCGUAAAGCGCGCGUAGGCGGUCUGAUAAGCCGGUUGUGAAAGCCCCGGGCUCAACCUGGAACGGCAUCCGGAACUGUCAGGCUAGAGUGCAGGAGAGGAAGGUAGAAUUCCCGGUGUAGCGGUGAAAUGCGUAGAGAUCGGGAGGAAUACCAGUGGCGAAGGCGGCCUUCUGGACUGACACUGACGCUGAGGUGCGAAAGCGUGGGUAGCAAACAGGAUUAGAUACCCUAGUAGUC